This 478-nucleotide ribosomal RNA is filed under the name uncultured bacterium. RNAcentral's name for it is "partial 16S ribosomal RNA". It matches the Rfam family "Bacterial small subunit ribosomal RNA", at positions 28 to 523 of the family's 1533-position model. The record is from RNAcentral.
GACGAACGCCGGCGGCAUGCCUAACACAUGCAAGUCGAGCGAGCAGAUCCCUUCGGGGUGAAGCUAGCGGCGGACGGGUGAGUAACACGUGGGCAACCUGCCUCAUAGAGGGGAAUAGCCUUCCGAAAGGAAGAUUAAUACCGCAUAAGAUUGUAGCUUCGCAUGAAGCAGCAAUUAAAGGAGCAAUCCGCUAUGAGAUGGGCCCGCGGCGCAUUAGCUAGUUGGUGAGGUAACGGCUCACCAAGGCGACGAUGCGUAGCCGACCUGAGAGGGUGAUCGGCCACAUUGGGACUGAGACACGGCCCAGACUCCUACGGGAGGCAGCAGUGGGGAAUAUUGCACAAUGGGGGAAACCCUGAUGCAGCAAUGCCGCGUGAGUGAUGACGGCCUUCGGGUUGUAAGGCUCUGUCUUCGGGGACGAUAAUGACGGUACCCGAGGAGGAAGCCACGGCUAACUACGUGCCAGCAGCCGCAGUAA